CUGCCAAUCAAGUCCAGGUGCUUGUGCUUCGUGCCACGCAGCUGUUUUUAAAUUCUUGGCAAGAUAACAGCCAGGGUACGAGCCCUGACAUCUACCUGUGGUGUCUGCGGUCCCUAAGAAUGGCUACACAA
This is a non-coding RNA of Xyrichtys novacula (pearly razorfish), 131 nucleotides long. NCBI's taxonomy places the organism in Eukaryota, Metazoa, Chordata, Actinopteri, Labriformes, Labridae. The record is from the annotation of a GenBank genome assembly.